RNAcentral lists this ribosomal RNA (161 nucleotides) under Facelis retusa. RNAcentral describes it as "5.8S ribosomal RNA". It matches the Rfam family "5.8S ribosomal RNA". From Rfam's summary of the family: 5.8S ribosomal RNA (5.8S rRNA) is a component of the large subunit of the eukaryotic ribosome. The record is from RNAcentral. RNAcentral also lists the same sequence under 1 other name. Lineage: Eukaryota; Viridiplantae; Streptophyta; Magnoliopsida; Asterales; Asteraceae.
ACGACUCUCGGCAACGGAUAUCUCGGCUCACGCAUCGAUGAAGAACGUAGCAAAAUGCGAUACUUGGUGUGAAUUGCAGAAUCCCGUGAACCAUCGAGUUUUUGAACGCAAGUUGCGCCCGAAGCCACUUGGUUGAGGGCACGUCUGCCUGGGCGUCACGC